Molecule: ribosomal RNA, 265 nt
Filed under: uncultured bacterium
Lineage: Bacteria
Description: partial 16S ribosomal RNA
Rfam family: Bacterial small subunit ribosomal RNA
Source: RNAcentral
GUCCACGCCCUAAACUAUGUCAACUGGUUGUCGGAGGAUUAACUCCUUUGGUAACGAAGCUAACGCGUGAAGUUGACCGCCUGGGGAGUACGGCCGCAAGGUUAAAACUCAAAGGAAUUGACGGGGACCCGCACAAGCGGUGGAUUAUGUGGAUUAAUUCGAUGCAACGCGAAAAACCUUACCUACCCUUGACAUGUCAGGAACGCCGCAGAGAUGUGGCGGUGCCCGAAAGGGAACCUGAACACAGGUGCUGCAUGGCUGUCGU